UACGUAGGGUGCAAGCGUUAAUCGGAAUUAUUGGGCGUAAAGGGUGCGCAGGCUGUGCUGUAAGUCAGAUGUGAAAUCCCCGGGCUCAACCUGGGAAUUGCGUUUGAAACUGUAGCGCUAGAGUGUGGUAGAGGAGAGUGGAAUUCCAUGUGUAGCAGUGAAAUGCGUAGAGAUGUGGAAGAACACCAAUGGCGAAGGCAGCUCUCUGGAUUAACACUGACGCUCAUGCACGAAAGCGUGGGGAGCAAACAGG
RNAcentral lists this ribosomal RNA (253 nucleotides) under uncultured bacterium. RNAcentral describes it as "partial 16S ribosomal RNA". It matches the Rfam family "Bacterial small subunit ribosomal RNA", at positions 524 to 776 of the family's 1533-position model. The record is from RNAcentral.